This 305-nucleotide ribosomal RNA is filed under the name Salmonella enterica. RNAcentral's name for it is "partial 23S ribosomal RNA". Lineage: Bacteria; Pseudomonadati; Pseudomonadota; Gammaproteobacteria; Enterobacterales; Enterobacteriaceae. The record is from RNAcentral.
GGUUAAGCGACUAAGCGUACACGGUGGAUGCCCUGGCAGUCAGAGGCGAUGAAGGRCGUGCUAAUCUGCGAUAAGCGCCGGUAAGGUGAUAUGAACCGUUAUAACCGGCGAUWYCCGAAUGGGGAAACCCAGUGUGACUCGUCACACUAUCAUUAACUGAAUCCAUAGGUUAAUGAGGCGAACCGGGGGAACUGAAACAUCUAAGUACCCCGAGGAAAAGAAAUCAACCGAGAUUCCCCCAGUAGCGGCGAGCGAACGGGGAGGAGCCCAGAGCCUGAAUCAGCAUGUGUGUUAGUGGAAGCGUC